Molecule: long non-coding RNA, 2347 nt
Organism: Herpailurus yagouaroundi (jaguarundi)
Lineage: Eukaryota; Metazoa; Chordata; Mammalia; Carnivora; Felidae
Exons: 2
Source: RefSeq, a predicted model, not a curated record
CUCCCUCCCUCUCUCUCUCUCUCUCUCUCUCUCUCUCUCUCUCUCUCUCUCUCUCUCAGAAUAAAUAAGUAAACCUUACAGAUUCAGUUCCCUUGUUAGGUGUCAACAUUCACAGAAGGGAAAAUAAUAAAAUUUGUUUUUGUUUAUCUUAGUAAUAUCAUUAAUUUUCUUUAUUUGGUACCAUCCUAUCUUUUAAUUACAUAAAUAAAAAUCCUCAGUCAUCACCUUCAUCUUGCAAUGCCUGUCAGCUACCAGUUCUAGAGUUCUUUUAAGAAUUGAUUUAGGCUUGGAGCACGUGGGUGGUUCUGUCGGUAAGCAUCCGACUAUUGAUUUCAGCUCAGGUCAUGAUCUUGGGGUUCGUGAGUUCGAGCCCUACAUCAGGCUCUGCGCUGAGCCUGCUUGGGAUUCUCUCUCUGCCACUCCUGCUCUCUCUCUCUAAAUAAACUUUAAAAAAUUGAAUUAGGCUUGUGCUUAUUGUGGAAAUUAAGUACUUAUGAAAGAUUCUGGCAGCAGAUUCUAAAUAAUUGAGUGACCUAUGUCCCCAGUAGUUUUUCCUUUUAAUGAGCUCGGGGAUCUAGUUUAAUUAAAAUCUUUGUUCAGGACUCCUUUAGCAUGAAGUUGCUGUUUACUAGAAUGAUUUUUUUUUUUUUUUUUAAGAGUAGAAUUUUUAAACAGGUACAGACUGAAGUUUGCGUCUUAGUUACAACUCUUUAUUCUGACUGGUGCCCAUGGAAGAAAUAGGGUAACUAGUUUAAUUAGUUUCGUAUCUUUUUCAAUCAAGAAAACUUAGACUACAUUUCUAGAACGCAUCCGCUGUGGGGAGUUACUUGGUCUUUGAUGCAGCUCUCUACCUGUUUGGUAGAGGAGCAGAGGGUUGCUGGAGUCCCUUUUGUAAGACCCCCCACACACUGCCUGCGGGGAAUGGAGCUCUUGAGCCCCUAAAGUAUGAGGUCCCAGUCCUUGUACUUAGACCCUGUGUCAGCUAGUAGCAUUUUAUAAAGAUGUUUUUAAAUAGAUGUGUAAGGGCCCAGAAGGAAGUUUUACAAAUAUUUUGGAGCCCUUAACCUUCAUUUCAGAGCUAAUCAUUGAAUAGAGUUAGAAAGCUCUUUCUCUUAAAAGCUCUGUCCCCAUUUUCUUGGUCCUAAAAUUUUGCCAGUCCCAGCAUCCUAAAUAUACUCCAGCCCAUUCCACAGUCCCCAGAUGAAGAGCUUAAACAGACUUGUAGGCUUCUAGCAGGGAUCUCCCUGAAGGGCAUGUGAGCCAGUGCGCUAGAAACAGUUGGAAGCAGCAGGCUGGUCCUUAACACCUGGCAUCAGGAGCGGGGCUGGACUCCAGGUGCUUGCGCAGGUGGUUGGCAAAGUCCACCUGGGUCUGUGAUAAGACCUGGUUGAUGAUCGUCUUUGGCAGCCAUCCCUAGAGUAGAAGAUAGAAGAAUUUGGCCACCUUGUGGGUGAUGUUCCCCUGUAGACACCUCUGUACCUGUCACAAACAUGGAUUGCUUGGGGCUUGGUCUUCCAGCUCUGUUUAUAGGUUGACCUUGGAGUUGACCCGGGAGGACUGCCCUACUGCCCUGCUGUGUCAUGACCGUGUAAGAGCGGUCAAUUAUGUCAAGACAAAGGUCAGUUGUGUGACCCUGAGCUAGCAACCAUAUCUUUGGGGGCCUAAGUUUCCUUCUUUCCAAAUGGGCAACUACAGAGUUGAAAUUUGAUAUGAGGUAAAAGGGAGCUAUUGUAGUCUGUGGAGAUGAUGGAAUAGCAGGCCGAUAUUCAAGCCUCGUCCUUCUCCCAACAGUCUGUCUCAAAAUGGAGGAGGGUUUUUCCUGUUCUUGCAGGAUCACGUGGGAGGGACCUACCGGGCCACGGGGAGCCAGAAUCAUUAGCCAGUGCUGGGGCUGACGCACCACCCACAGCUUGCAACCUUUUUGGCACACCUUUCAGACUGGGCUCCCAUGGGUUCCUGCCACCCACACCUGGACUCUCCUCACCUUAAUCUCCUUGACGUUCGGGUUCCACUCUCCCAUCGCUUCCAUGUGCUCCACAAGCUCUUCAUAAAGCCUCUCCAUGGGCUGGUCCACCACCACCUCCAACCGGAACACCUUGCCCAUAUCUGGGACCACUUUACUCAGUACCGUGUCCCCAUUUGCCUGUCAGGGAGAAAAAAAGGAGCUUCAGGAUAAAGUUUACAGAAAAAUAUUCCUAGGCAGGAAUAUGACAAGGACAGGCAAGGCAGGAAGGGGAACAGCACAAAGAACUUUAAGCAUGACAAAGCCUAAAAUUACUUGUUCUAAGACAGUUGGUCAUCUUUCCCGCCAUAAGCCUCAUACAUCUGCUGAAACCUUGAGCAGUAA